RNAcentral lists this ribosomal RNA (1024 nucleotides) under uncultured bacterium. RNAcentral's name for it is "bacterial SSU rRNA". It matches the Rfam family "Bacterial small subunit ribosomal RNA", at positions 335 to 1394 of the family's 1533-position model. The record is from RNAcentral.
AUUCCUACGGGAGGCAGCAGUGAGGAAUCUUCCACAAUGGGCGAAAGCCUGAUGGAGCGACACCGCGUGAAGGAUGAAGCCUUUGUUGGUGUAAACUUCUUUUCUCUUGGAAGAUAAUGACGGUACAAGAGGAAUAAGGGGCGGCAAACUUCGUGCCAGCAGCCGCGGUAAUACGAAGGCCCCAAGCGUUAUCCGGAAUUACUGGGCGUAAAGCGUCUGUAGGUGGUCUGGAAAGUUUCAAGUGAAAGGUCAGGGCUCAACCCUGUACUUGCUUGGAAAACUAUCAGACUUGAGUGCGGGAGAGGCAAGCAGAACUGUAUGAGUAGGGGUGCAAUCCGUUGAUACAUACAAGAAUACCAAAAGCGAAGGCAGCUUGCUGGAACGCCACUGACACUGAGAGACGAAAGCGUGGGGAGCAAAAGGGAUUAGAUACCCCUGUAGUCCACGCCCUAAACGAUGGAUGCUAAGUGUCGGGCUUUGCCCGGUGCUUCAAGCUAACGCAUUAAGCAUCCCGCCUGAGGAGUACGGCCGCAAGGUUAAAACUCAAAUGAAUAGACGGGGACCCGCACAAGCAGUGGAUCAUGUGGUUUAAUUCGACACUAAACGAGAAACCUCACCUAGGCUUGACAUUGAUAGAAAGAGACAGAAAUGUUUUUGUGCCCGCAAGGGAACUUGAAAGCAGGUGCUGCAUGGUUGUCGUCAGCUCGUGCCUUGAGGUGUUCGGUUAAGUCCGUUAACGAGCGCAACCCAUGUCGUUAGUUAUUAUGUCUAACGAGACUGCCUGAGUUAAUCAGGAGGAAGGUGUGGAUGACGUCAAAUCAGCAUGGCCCUUAUGCCUAGGGCUACACACAUGAUACAAUGGUCGGUACAAAGGGUUGCAAUAUGGUAACAUGGAGCCAAUCCCAGAAAGCCGAUCUCAGUCCAGAUUGAGGGCUGCAACUCGCCCUCAUGAAGUUGGAAUUGCUAGUAAUCGUGAAUCAGCUAUGUCACGGUGAAUCUGUUCCCGGGCCUUGUACACACCGCC